GACGUAGGGUGCAAGCGUUGUCCGGAUUUAUUGGGCGUAAAGAGCUCGUAGGCGGUCUGUCGCGUCGGCUGUGAAAACCCGGAGCUCAACUCCGGGCCUGCAGUCGAUACGGGCAGACUGGAGUUCGGCAGGGGAGACUGGAAUUCCUGGUGUAGCGGUGAAAUGCGCAGAUAUCAGGAGGAACACCGGUGGCGAAGGCGGGUCUCUGGGCCGAUACUGACGCUGAGGAGCGAAAGCGUGGGGAGCGAACAGG
Molecule: ribosomal RNA, 253 nt
Filed under: uncultured bacterium
Lineage: Bacteria
Description: partial 16S ribosomal RNA
Rfam family: Bacterial small subunit ribosomal RNA
Source: RNAcentral